RNA transcript from Panicum hallii, 2232 nucleotides. It is a transcript of the gene named probable WRKY transcription factor 3, with no coding region annotated. The record is from RefSeq and is a predicted model, not a curated record. Lineage: Eukaryota; Viridiplantae; Streptophyta; Magnoliopsida; Poales; Poaceae. The transcript has 3 exons.
UAUUCUCGAGCGCUCGUGAUUGUACCCAGGGCAAAGGCAAACACUCAAGCAGGCAACUCCAUGGAGAAUCCAGUUCAGGUCGUUAGAACUAGGCCAGGCUGAACUGGAAAUCUGGAAACUUGACCAACACAAGGCGCCGUCUCCGUUGCAGUCCAGUCAGUUACCUGUCCGUUUAGCUGAAACCCAACGGUGUCAAAACUGAUGACCUGAAAUCAAGUCUCACGCACACAGACCAGCUCAUCAUAAACCAGCUCGGCCUCCGAACCAAUCGACCCCAAGUCAUCCUCGCCAACUUGGCACGAGAGGGAGCUAGCACUAGCAAUGCAGCGGCACGGGCGGACGCUGCUUGCUCUGUGCCUGCUCCCCUGCUUCGCGUCGUGCCAGGGGCGCGCGUCCCCGGAAAUGCUGGGCGGAGGCAUGGCCGUGCGCUUCGAAGCUGGCGCGGCGUAGCGAGGGUCUCCGGCCGGCAGCCGCGGGUUGGUGAGCGGCGGCUGAGGGACUUCCAGUGAAGUGAGCGGCGGCGCAAGGGCCGAGCGGCUGCUGCGGUCCGUGCCGAGCCCUGGCGUUGGGCACUAGCUAGCUGGGAUUCCUCUGGUUGCCAAGAUCUCAGCCGUGUCGUGCAGGCAUGAUGGGCGGCUUGCUGUCAGCGGCCCACAGCAGGCAAGCUCCCCGCAUCUCAUCUGAUAUUAUCUGCAGAUCCUCUGCAGUGUCCGCAUACCAGGUCAGCUCCUCUUGCUACAAUUAGUAGCGUUUCUGCAGUUCCUCGACAAAGGCUGAAGAUCCUCUGCCCUGAAUCGCAUAAAAACACCUCACCUCUGAAGGAACAUCCGCACAUCCAUGAAGCAUGAAUAAUCGUCUCGAGCGUGUGUUGCUCGAGUUCUUGCUUGCUUGGGUGAAAUCGAAAGGUGGUGGAGGAUUACCGCCCCACGCAAUCGCAAUCCCGGCCGCCGUCGUGCGCCCAUGCCCGUCAGAUCGAGGGCCCGCGGCGGCUCGCUCCGCGUGGCCCGGGUGCGGCGAGCCGCGCGCUACCCUCCGGUUCUUGCUGCGGGUGGUGAGAUUGGUGUUGGAUGGUGCUAGGAAUUGAUCCGGGGACUGGUGGCUGAGGCGGAACUUCGCGAUUCCGGCGUGGAGGACGGCGGCGGUGGCGGCUCACGGGCGGGGCGGAGCGAACCACGACCAGGGGGUUAUCUGAAACUAAUCAGGGGAUAAAUGAAAAUAAUCGGAUCGCGAUUAUUAAUCACGAUCCAAUUUAGAGGUUAUUUGUAAAAUGCAGGGGGUAAUAUGCAAAUAUUCGGAUCGUGACUAUUAAUUGCGAUCCAAAUCAGGUGGUAUUUGCAAACUAUUUGGUUCAAUCUUGGGGUCAUCCUUGCAAAUGUUUUGGACCGGCGAGAUGGAAGCCGCGCGACAGCGCCGGCCUGCGCUAAGCUCCGCCGCUCGCUGUGUCACCACGCUCUCCACGCAUCACCAGAGCGCGCUUGCUGGGCCGUCGUCCGAUGAACCCAGUCGCUGCUUGUGCUCCGAUGAGGAAGGAGUCGAGGAGCGAUCACCAGAUGGCAGUCGCGUUGGUUCAGUAUCCACACAUUAACCGCCUCUUCUUGGCUCGCCGGAGAAACUAGAGGGGGAGGAGGAGGAGGAGGAAUAUGAGAACUGGAACGACUUCCCCGGUCUAGGUCACUUAGCCUCUGAUUCACAACUCACUCACGAAUUUCUGCUUGCCUGAAUUUGCCUGAAUCUUGUUCUCCCAGGAGUCCAGCUCGGGAAUUGUGGGAUCAUCUUGGUGCUCUUCGAGACGCCCUCUGGCUUUGCCUUGUUCAGUUACGAUCUCCUCCUACGACGUGCCAUUGAUCAGCAUAAAUGGACUGACUUCGUCAAGUGUGACAGGCCAGAAACAAUGGAAGUUUCUGCCCCAGCUAACGCUACCACCAAUGCCUUUGACAUGGCAGCUAUGGCAUCAAGAGCUGUCCGAGAGCCUUGGAUUGUUGUGCAGACCACACGUGAGGUUGACAUCCUUGAUGAUGUUUACCGCUGGUGCAAGUAUCGCGAUUGCAGGUGGCAAACGGGAAUGCCAUGGCUGCUUACCAGCAGUUCAUGGGCAGGUUGCCUCAGGGUCCUCAGAAAAUUCAGAUGUAAAUAGCAGGUCCAAACAUGUAAAGAAAGGUGUUUUUUGGCUUGUGUACAUAGACAAUGUGAAUGUUCUGUGGUUUAUUCUAUUGUAGUUCCUUCGUUUGCUUU